RNAcentral lists this ribosomal RNA (261 nucleotides) under uncultured archaeon. RNAcentral's name for it is "partial 16S ribosomal RNA". It matches the Rfam family "Archaeal small subunit ribosomal RNA", at positions 748 to 1009 of the family's 1478-position model. The record is from RNAcentral.
AGGGUGUAAACGCUGCGGGCUUGGUGUUGGGGGUCCUUAGUGGGCGCCCAGUGCCGGAGAGAAGUUGUUAAGCCUGCUGCUUGGGGAGUAUGUCCGCAAGGAUGAAACUUAAAGGAAUUGGCGGGGGAGCACCGCAACGGGAGGAGCGUGCGGUUCAAUUGGAUUCAACGCCGAAAAACUCACCAGGAGCGACGGAUAUAUGAAGGUCGAGCUGAUGACUUUACCUGAUUAGCUGAGAGGAGGUGCAUGGCGUAGUCGUGU